Odocoileus virginianus texanus is the source of this 1848-nucleotide non-coding RNA. Lineage: Eukaryota; Metazoa; Chordata; Mammalia; Artiodactyla; Cervidae. The record is from RefSeq and is a predicted model, not a curated record.
GAGAAAGGAAGCAUAGCUGGACAGAAUGACCAACAGACCCAAAACGGACUGGGGCUGGGGUGAGGGGAGGCAAGGCUCCGCCCCCACAGGGCCCGCCCCUACGUACCUGCGCUUCUGGCCUCGUCCCACCCUCUCCCCUUACGUCGCCUCUCGUUGGCCGCGGCGUAGCGCACUCACCCUCCUCUGUACCGGAUUUUCCGCCCGCGCGUGCGCAGUAUCCGGCAAGACGGACUUGAGUUUAAAUGAGCGACAGCUUUUGUGAGUUUGUUUGUUUAAAACCCGGAUGUCGUAGUCCCACGGCCUGUUGUCCUUCACACGUGGAUUUCGGGGGUCUCUGUGGACGUUCAAGAAUCCCUGCUGUGCCAGUGGCCGUGGAGGAUUGUGAUUUGUACCUGUUGAGAUCCUCCCUCUGUGUGGGGCUGCGUUGCAGGGAGCUCGCUGUGGUUUUCGAAGUAUUGAACAGCCUAUUUUCAACACUCGGGUCACUUCCCAAGACUGAUCUUACCUGAGAAGGAAGACCAGAGGAGAAGGAAAGCAGAGUCAGAAAUGACUCGUUCCCAGGCUAAUUCUCUGGAGCGUGGAAACCUGCCGAGCUCGCUUUCUCACCCGGGCUUUCAAGACUUCCUCGAGAGGAUGCUCUGUGCCUUCGUGAGUGGUACAAGCCCUGUGUCAAGGGCUUUAUAGGUUCUCUGCAUAAACCAGGGAAUAUCAGCCUCUUUCUGUCUUUUACUUUCUUAUUGUCGACUCCGGACCACCAGGUUCCGGUCCAUUAAAGGACUGCAACGUUAGGCUACAGAUCAGGGAAGUCAUAUAUGAAGUGAAAUUUGCUUACAACACAUUUUAAAAAUAUUUAUUUGGCUGCACUGGGUCUUCUUGUGGCAGGUAGGAUCUUCAGUCAUCCUUGUAAUUUUCAGGUUCUUUGGUUGUGACAUGUAAACUUUUAGCUACAGCAUGUGGGAUCUAGUUUGCUGAUCAGGGAAAGAACCAGAGCUCUGUGCAUUGGGAGCUCAGGGUCUUAGUCACUGGGUCAUCACAGAGUUCCUGAGCUAACAUUUUUUAAUGAUAGAUUCAGGUCAGAGUUUCCAUAUAGUGCCAAAUACCCGUGCGGUGAUAAUGCAUUCCUCCAUGGACUUCUUGCCCCAUGACUCAUGUUCACUGGUUAGGUGUUUCUGUGAGAUUUCCAUGCCAUGAAUUUGUUUUUUCCAUUUGACUUGAACAAGUGUCUUGGAAAGAAUCAGUGAGGGAUGUGCCUAAACUCUCAACAAUUAAUGGCGUAAACUCCAUGUCUUCUUACUUUCUUUCUGCUUUGGAAGAUGAACACUCAGGUGUGUUUAGCAGAGAUGCUGGGUUUUGGGAGUGGGGGUUUUCAUCCCAAGCCCAGGUCUCAUCUUUUCCAGUAGACUCCAUGCUCACAUCACAGAGUCUCAUCACAGUUUUGUAUUUUACAAAAUGUUUACAAGAAUCUAAUUAGUCCUAAUCUAUGCUCAACUGUAUUAAAAUUAAAAUACAGUUUAGUGCAAAUAAAACAAUAUCAUCCUCUCACAUUAUGUACAUAUUAAUCCAUUCAAAAUUACCUGAGUUUAGUGACAUGAAACAUUUUCUCUCUUCCUCCUAAUGAGCAUAUAGCCCCAUUUGAGUGUAUGUCUGUACUCAGUGGAGAUGAGUUUCAGUAGGCUCCGAGAGUGGGUGAUGGACAGGGAGGCCUGGCGUGCUGUGGGCCAUGGGAUUGUGAAGAGUGGGAUAUGACUGAUAACUGAACUGGACUGUAUGUGUGAAAAUAUUAACAUGACUUGAUCAGUUUUUUCUUCUUCUUCUUUUCUUUUUGCUUUGUUUUUUGAAGAACUUCUG